RNAcentral lists this ribosomal RNA (323 nucleotides) under uncultured eukaryote. RNAcentral's name for it is "partial 18S ribosomal RNA". It matches the Rfam family "Eukaryotic small subunit ribosomal RNA", at positions 1470 to 1796 of the family's 1831-position model. The record is from RNAcentral.
CCCUUAGAUGUUCUGGGCGGCCCGCGCACUACAUUGGCACUCUCAAUAAGUUCCUAGAUCUAAAACUUUGGGGUAUUCUAUUAAGUGGUGUCGUGACUGGGAUUAACCCUUGCAAUUAUUGGUUACGAACGAGGAAUUCCUUGUAAUCGCGGUUUAUCAGCCCGCGUUGAAUGCGUCCCUGCCCUUUGUACACACCGCCCGUCGCUCCUACCGAUUGGGUGUGCUGGUGAAAUGUUCGGAUCGGCCGUUUGUCGCGGUUUCCGCGGCUCGUGGCUGAGAAGUUCAUUAAACCCUCCCACCUAGAGGAAGGAGAAGUCGUAACA